CACAAUUUACAGUAACAUUAAAUUUUACACAAUUAAAUCGGUAUGCCAGAAGAACUAGGCGAGACCCGAAUCUUAUAAAAUUACAACUGAUACAUCUACUAUUACUACUGCGGAGAAUCUAAGAUUUACCAAUUUACAUACCAAAUCAUAUACAUCACCCGAUGAUGAAGGAGUCGAGUUACUGAAUAAGAGUCGCGAGAAGACUAACAGUCACGUAUCUGAAAAAAAAUAAAUUGAGACUGUCAGUAUGGAGAGUGAGUUAAAAUCAAGUAAUCUAGAGAUUAUUGCAGUGUUCACAGAAAAUAUUAAUUAUUCGAAUUAGUAAUAUCAAACCAUGCACAUAUAUACAAAUCAUAUUAUAAUCAUACCAUAAUAAAUAAUAAAUAAAUAUACAUAUAUUUUUAUUUUUACGGGACGAGUGGCUCAAUAGAACCCUAACCCCAAAUUCUAGUAGCCUUUUGGCUCUCUUAAUCCAAUAAGACUGGCGCCCAGAGAGCAAUGCUCGACUAGGGACCUUACCUCCAGUCUGGUCACUUAAGUAUCCAAAUAUGCCAGCGCCCAGAGAGCAAUGCUCGACCAUGGACCUUACCUCUGGCAAUUUACUCAAAUCAGCCCAGAGAACCAUGCUCGACCAGGGCAAAACUCAUAAUAAUCUUAUUACCGCAAUUUACUCGAAUCAGCCCAGAGAGCCAUGCUCGACCAGGGCGAACUCAUAAAAAUCUUAUCACAUGUCCAUGAUCAUUACCGAUGAGCACGCGGUCCUGAUGUAGCCCAUCAGGCGGCAUGUUCUGCAAGGCCACAUUUUCCAAAUCGCAAUCAUCACAUUUAAUGAAUAUCAUUAUCUAAUUAAAUCAUCCAACAUAUUAUCAAAUUAAAGAUUAAAAAUUUAAUUCGUGUCGAAAAAUAAUAAUAUCAGUAUUAUUAUAAUGUUACUAAUAAUAAUAUUUAUAUUAUUUUCAAUAAUUAAUAAUCAAAUAAAAAUUCUUUAUAUUGCGAUACUAAUAAUCAUAUUAAGCAUAAAUUCUAAAAUAGCAUAUUAAAAUCAGACUUAGCAAUAGUGCAAUGAUUAAAUGAUUUUAACUCACAAGUUUGGCGACCUCCUAACUCUGCUCCGGUG
RNAcentral lists this long non-coding RNA (1117 nucleotides) under Ricinus communis (castor bean). RNAcentral's name for it is "long non-coding RNA (RCOM_LNC002280)". The record is from RNAcentral. Lineage: Eukaryota; Viridiplantae; Streptophyta; Magnoliopsida; Malpighiales; Euphorbiaceae.